This 277-nucleotide ribosomal RNA is filed under the name uncultured Veillonellaceae bacterium. RNAcentral's name for it is "partial 16S ribosomal RNA". It matches the Rfam family "Bacterial small subunit ribosomal RNA", at positions 78 to 339 of the family's 1533-position model. Lineage: Bacteria; Bacillati; Bacillota; Negativicutes; Veillonellales; Veillonellaceae. The record is from RNAcentral.
CUUCGGUUCAAUUUUUAGUGGCGAACGGGUGAGUAACGCGUAGGCAACCUGCCCUUUAGACGGGGACAACAUUCCGAAAGGGAUGCUAAUACCGGAUGUGACGCUCCUAUCGCAUGACGGGAGCGUGAAAGAUGGCCUCUACAUGUAAGCUAUCGCUAAAGGAUGGGCCUGCGUCUGAUUAGCUAGUUGGUGGGGUAACGGCCCACCAAGGCGACGAUCAGUAGCCGGACUGAGAGGUUGACCGGCCACAUUGGGACUGAGAUACGGCCCAGACUCC